This 253-nucleotide ribosomal RNA is filed under the name uncultured bacterium. RNAcentral's name for it is "partial 16S ribosomal RNA". It matches the Rfam family "Bacterial small subunit ribosomal RNA", at positions 524 to 776 of the family's 1533-position model. The record is from RNAcentral.
UACGUAGGUGGCGAGCGUUAUCCGGAAUUACUGGGCGUAAAGGGCACGCAGGCGGCCAUUCAAGUCUGACGUGAAAGCUCCUGGCUUAACUGGGAGAGGUCGUUGGAAACUGAGUGGCUUGAGGCAAUGAGAGGGGUGCGGAAUUCCAGGUGUAGUGGUGGAAUGCGUAGAUAUCUGGAGGAACAUCAGUGGCGAAAGCGGCACCCUGGCAUUGACCUGACGCUCAUGUGCGAAAGCGUGGGGAGCGAACGGG